UACGGAGGGGGCUAGCGUUGUUCGGAAUUACUGGGCGUAAAGCGCACGUAGGCGGCUUUGUAAGUUAGAGGUGAAAGCCCGGGGCUCAACUCCGGAAUUGCCUUUAAGACUGCAUCGCUAGAAUUGUGGAGAGGUAAGUGGAAUUCCUAGUGUAGAGGUGAAAUUCGUAGAUAUUCGGAAGAACACUAGUGGCGAAGGCGACUUACUGGACACAUAUUGACGCUGAGGUGCGAAAGCGUGGGGAGCAAACAGG
RNAcentral lists this ribosomal RNA (253 nucleotides) under uncultured bacterium. RNAcentral describes it as "partial 16S ribosomal RNA". It matches the Rfam family "Bacterial small subunit ribosomal RNA", at positions 524 to 776 of the family's 1533-position model. The record is from RNAcentral.